This is a long non-coding RNA of Myotis brandtii (Brandt's bat), 4156 nucleotides long. RefSeq lists it as uncharacterized. Lineage: Eukaryota; Metazoa; Chordata; Mammalia; Chiroptera; Vespertilionidae. The record is from RefSeq and is a predicted model, not a curated record. The transcript is spliced from 3 exons.
ACCCCUUCCCCCCAGUGCUGCCAUAUUUAAUGUUAUGUAAGUAUUAGGUUCUAGAGACAGGGCCUUCUUUAAAAACCCAGAAGUCAAUUUUAUUAUUUAUUUGGCUCAUUUGUUAGAAUAGGGUUACUAAUCUGAUCGUUUGGAAUUUUAGUUAUUUGGUGUGAGGAGGAAGCCUGUAGCUCUGCACAUUGAUUUGCAUGCCGGAGGAGGAAGUAGGGGGAAGAUUACGACUUUUCUAGGUGGACACAUAUUUUAGUGUCCCACUUCUUUAAGUCCUUUAAUGUUAACACCUUCUAACACUUUGCUGUUUGACUUUUGCCUUUUUUUUUUUUUAAAGAAAUAACUUGUGAGAUCGAAGUUUAGCAGUUGUCUUGGGUUCAUAUUAUUCCCUUUCACUUCUUAAUUUAAAAAAAAGGGAACUAAUAUACCACUGAAAUAAAGCCUGUAAAGUAUUUUCCCCCUUCAGCCUGAAGAAUCUAUUUAGAUCACAGCGUAACCCCCUCCCUUCUCUGGGUAGUAGGGGAGGAAGGAGGAGGAGUGAAGGUUUUGGCUCUGCCUUUACUUUUAAGGUUUAAGGUGGAGGUGGAUUUGCAUUCUCUUUGUAAGUAAGCCUCCAUGUUUGGCAGUGGAACUUCUGGGAGGAAUAGCAGCCCAGUCGUCCUUUUAAAGAGGAAAUCUGAAAAUAAGACUUAAUCAAGUCACUUACAAACUGAUGAAAUACUCAGGAAUAUAAUGGCCUGGCAAGGACAGUCCCUUUAUCUCAUUUCAGAUAAAUGCUCAUCACUUUUCUCUCAUGUAACAGUAUUUAUGAUGAAAUGGCAUGUUCUUGCCACAGCAGGGUUGCCUUUUCCCAACUCCAGAGCACUCUUAAUUCCGAGCUGCUUGGUGAGAGCCUCAGGGGUCCCGAAAGAUGUGUUUUCCCACUUUAUAAAGUUACAUUCUUUUCUCUCCAUUGUCACGAACGUGAUAUUGGCUGAUAAGGACUUUGGAGUAGUUUUAAUGACUCUUGACUGCCUACAAUGUACUACUUAUAAAAAAGAGAUAUGCUUUUAUCUGACUCUGAGGGCUGUGAUUGGCCUUCUCUUAUGUUUUACAAGAAGCUUUGUUUCCACUUGCUCAAAAAAAAUUUCAGUUUAAGGUGUUCAAGUAUGGCUUGUAUGUUAUGGGUUUUGAGGUUGCUGUGUAUGACUUGUCUUAAAUGGUUUAGUCCUAAUUUCCUACUUCAAUCAAAUUCUGUAGCAGAAUGGUUAAUAGGUGAAUGAACAGUGGCUAGGUAUUUUCUUUCUUUCUUUCUUCCUUCCUUUCUUUCUUUUUUAGUGGCUAGGUAUUUUCAAGCCUUAGGAAUAAAAACAUGAGACAGUUCUAUAUACUGAUGAGCAUGCCAAUAGAAUAAAACAAAUGUAAUGAGACUUUAAAUUAAAUGACUAAAUUGGGAUAGCUAGAAUAGUUUUCACAUUACCGAGGUGUUACAAAAUAAAAACCUGGAAGGUAUUUACAGUCCAGGCAUUAAAGGAAUCCCAAUCAUAUGAAAUGCUCUAAAUAGUGAAGGUUUUGGUCCCAACCUGUGAAUUAAACCCAGAGCAGUAGGAAGAGAGAAGAUUUGUCUACUCAUCUCCAGAUGUGGGGGAGGGGUGUUGACUAGUUUAAAUGCACGUGGGAGACUGAAUUACACAAAGACAGCAGGAAAUUUCUUAAAUUUGGGUGAGGGAAGCUUGAUCAUUAUACCUUAAUGGCCUCAUUUUGGGUGUAGCAGAACAACUUUACUGAAAUGCUGGCUUAAGAAUAAGGUGAUUUGGCUUGUUUUUCUGCAACCAGUACUACAGUUAGGCACAUGUGCAGUGGUAUGUGGGGCAAAGGAUUUUGAAGCGAGACCAUGAGUGAGGGCAGAUAGGAAUCUGACUUUGAGGAAGUGGGAGGACAGGGACCAUCCUUUCUUAAAAUCUGCAGCUCUGAUAAGCAAGCUCAAUUCUUGUUAUAAAUCUAUCUUCCAGAUAAAUAAAAGGGCAGCCCUUGCCAGCGUCUGCUGUCUCCAGUUGUCCCUUUAUGCCUAACAUUGGGACCCUCCCGAAAAAGGGCAUUGGAACACUUGCUGGCUGCCUGUUCUUCACAUCCCCAUUACUUCCUGCCCAGGGUAACAGCAAAGCUGAGUUACUGGAAAUUUGGGGCCAGUUUGGUAAUUUUAUGAUCAAGUUGAGAAAUAAAAUUACUAAACCUGAAAAGACAGCUGAGCAAGUUGUAUGAGAGAAUGAGUUUAAUUCCUUAGGCUGUGUUCUUAAGCUUUACCAAAGAUGCUGGCUUUUUUGUGGGCUCUUGUGUUUUGUGUAUAGGUGUUCCUUAUUUUCUAGUGUCAGAAAGCCUUUUGAAUUUAAAAUCGUUCAAAAUUUAUAGUGAUAUGGCCUGGAGAUUGAGAGCCCGGAUAUGUUUUGUUCUUGAAUCAGCAUUAGGAUAAAUACUUGUGUGUUUUUUUCCUACCUAUAUCAAAUCUGGAUAACUUCAAAAACAGUUCACUUAUACCAGAAGUAUUUUCAUUCUUAAUCAGUGGAUAAGUGUUGUUCAUAUAUGAAUCCACUGAACACUGACUAUAUGUAUUAAUUGAAAAGAGACUUUUUUUUCCUUAAUUUUGAAAGCAAACAGGUGAUUUAAAAGGGCCAACUUACAACUUUAGUAUUUACUCUCUACAAAGACAGGGAGGGCAGUAUUUAUAUGUCUGUAAAGAACCACCUCAUGCCUUUAAAAGGCAUUGACUGCCAUGUUUAUGUUUAAUCUGAAGUUAAGUUGGGUACAAUUAAAAACACUCACUUUGGCCUUGUGGGAAAAGAGGUGUAGGGGUGUAGAGUAGUGGUAUGGUAUGGUAUAAUGCUUAAAGUUAUUUGUAUAUUUGUUUAUAUACAAAUAUAUAUAUGUGUGUGUACCUGUACGCAUUCACUAUUUUCUUUGUAGAGAGUUAAAGAAUACAGGUAAAGAUAGAACAAUUUGCUUUUUUAGUUCUCGCUCCCUCUCUUUGGUACAGCAAUAUUCUAAAAUCUUUUCAAAAUGUUAAGGUAGUACUGGUUAAGUCAUAAUAAGAACUCAUUGAUAGUAAUGCUUAAUCUUGCUUAAUUAAAAUUCUUUUUUUUAUCCAUUUUCCUUAUAGUUGUCUUUCAGGACAAGAUAAAAAAUUUCAAAGCCAGUUUACAGACCACAGUAUCUGUAAUACUGAUAAUACUGAAACUAAAACUAAUACACGGUGCUCUAAGUUCACAUUAAUAUCCUUUAACUGACUUAAUUGAUUUGGAAUGAAGCAGGCAGAGUUUUUUUAUUUUUUAUUUUUUCCUCUGAGGCAGCGUUUUUAAUCAUGACAUUCAAAUAUGCUAAUGUGAUUACAUUUUAUAGUACUACUGUGGUUUCUAAUCCUAUUUAGAACUAACUGGGCACUUGCAUACAAUUUCAAGAAAAUGAGCUUAUAUCCUUUAGAUUAGAAUCUUCCCAAACUCUGCCUUUGAACAGUCAUCUGGUUUUGAAUGGUUUAGGUUGGGAUGUUGAAUAUCAACUUUGAGUAUUUUAAUCUUUUUCUGUCACUUAACUUUUAAACAUCUUUCCACAACUAUUUUAGGAAAGUUGGGGGUUGACUCCUGGGUGUGACGUUGGUGAUUUCCUUGAAAUGGUACUGAAGGAUUUUAAGUUACAGGUUUUGAUUACUACUGUAUAUUACUAUAUAGAGUUAUCUCCACUAGUCAGAUUAAGAAAAAAUAGUAUGUGUAAAAUAUGGAAGGGAAACUUCUAUAAGAGCUGUAAGUUUCCUUAACCAGAUCUUGGAGAUAAUUUUACAGUUUAAAGGUUCAAAUGAAUUCGUCAAUGACUAGCAGUUUGUUUAGUUUUUGAGGACCAUGAAUACCUUACUGCUCCAUACUAUGGUAAUGAGUAGUCCACAUCAAGAAAUGUAAGAUACCUCUUAUGAAGUACAGCUGUGCUGUCUCAGAGGGUUUUGGAAAUCUUGUCUCCAGAUUGCUGGAAUUGACUUGCUCAACUGACUCAUUCGCUCUCAGUGGAGACAAAGAGAAGUAAUGCUUUGUGCUGACUCAUAUUUGAAUCAAAGCAUCGCGGAAAGAACCAGUGAUACUCUGUCAUUGAGCUUCCCAAGACUUCUGAAGAUAAGAAGUUAGAGGAAUAUACAUUU